RNAcentral lists this long non-coding RNA (1459 nucleotides) under Sinocyclocheilus grahami. Its description in RNAcentral is "lncRNA (ENSSGRG00000013522.1)". Lineage: Eukaryota; Metazoa; Chordata; Actinopteri; Cypriniformes; Cyprinidae. The record is from RNAcentral.
CUGAAGGAUGGAGGUGUUGGGCUUUAGUUGGAGACCAGAUUGAUGGUGUUUGAUGAGGGUCUGAAGAAAGCUCUUCUGUUCUAAAUGAGGGUCUGGAGAAACACACUCACUUACACACACGCUCACACACACGCUCACACACACACUUACACACUCGCUUACAUACACUCACUCUCACUCUCACACUCACUCUCACUCUCACACUCACACACUUACACACACGCUCACACUCACACGCUCACACUCACUUACACACACACGCUCACACUCACUUACACACACACACACACACUUACACUCACUUACACACACGCUCACUCACUUACAUACACUUACACACACGCUCACACUCACUCACAUACACGCACACGCACACACACUAACACACACUCACUUACACUCACACACACUUGCACACACGCUCACACUCACUUACAUACACUUAUACACAUGCUCACACUCACUUACACUUACACUCACACUCACUUACACACACGCUCACACACACUCACACUCACUUACACAGACACUUACUUGCAUACACUUACACACACGCUCACACUCACUCACAUACACGCACACACACUCACACACACGCACACUCUCACACACUCACUUACGCUCUCACACUCUCUUACACUCACACACUCACUUACACACUCACUUACGCUCUCACACUCACACACACUCACUUACACUCACACACACUUGCACACACGCUCACACUCACUUACUUACACUUACACUCACACUCACUUACACACACGCUCACACACACUCACACUCACUUACACAGACACUUACUUGCACACACUUACACACACGCUCACACUCACUCACAUACACACGCUCACACUCGCGCACACACACUUACACACACACUCGCACUCACAUACACACACGCUCACACUCACUUACAUACACUCACUUACACGCUCACACACACUCACACGCUCACACACACUCACACGCUCACACACACUCACACUCACUUACACAGACACUUACUUACAUACACUUACACACACGCUCACACUUACACACACACUCACACUCACUUACAUACACGCGCACACACACUUACACACACGCUCACACUCACUCACAUACACGCGCACACACACUUACACACACGCUCACACUCACUCACAUACACGCGCACACACACUUACACACACGCUCACACUCACUUACAUACACGCGCACACACACUUACACACACGCUCACACUCACUCACAUACACGCGCACACACACUUACACACACGCUCACACUCACUCACAUACACACACACACACACACACACUCAGGCUCACACUCACUUACAUACACAUACACACACACUCACUUACACAGACACACUCACACUCACACUCACUUACAUACACACACACACACACGCUCACACACUCGUGUUUACACAAGGCAAACAGCCGUCACACACACAGAUGAAACGAGG